GAUGAACGCUAGCGGCAGGCCUAACACAUGCAAGUCGAGGGGUAGAACACUUCGGUGUUUGAGACCGGCGCACGGGUGCGUAACGCGUAUGCAAUCUACCUUGUACAGGGGAAUAGCCCAGAGAAAUUUGGAUUAAUGCCCCAUAGUAUAUAACCUUCGCAUGUUGGUUAUAUUAAAGUUCCAACGGUACAAGAUGAGCAUGCGUCCCAUUAGUUAGUUGGUAAGGUAACGGCUUACCAAGACGAUGAUGGGUAGGGGUCCUGAGAGGGAGAUCCCCCACACUGGUACUGAGACACGGACCAGACUCCUACGGGAGGCAGCAGUGAGGAAUAUUGGUCAAUGGUCGCAAGACUGAACCAGCCAUGCCGCGUGCAGGAAGGCGGUCCUAUGGAUUGUAAACUGCUUUUUAUACAGGAAGAAACCCUCCCACGUGUGGGAGCUUGACGGUACUGUAGGAAUAAGGAUCGGCUAACUCCGUGCCAGCAGCCGCGGUAAAGUCUGUACU
RNAcentral lists this ribosomal RNA (505 nucleotides) under uncultured bacterium. Its description in RNAcentral is "bacterial SSU rRNA". It matches the Rfam family "Bacterial small subunit ribosomal RNA", at positions 28 to 532 of the family's 1533-position model. The record is from RNAcentral.